RNAcentral lists this ribosomal RNA (375 nucleotides) under uncultured bacterium. RNAcentral describes it as "bacterial SSU rRNA". It matches the Rfam family "Bacterial small subunit ribosomal RNA", at positions 523 to 898 of the family's 1533-position model. The record is from RNAcentral.
AUACGUAGGCAGCAAGCGUUGUUCGGAAUUACUGGGCGUAAAGAGUGCGUAGGUGGUUGGCUAAGUUUGGUGUGAAAUCUCCCGGCUUAACUGGGAGGGUGCGCCGAAAACUGGCUGGCUAGAGUGUGGGAGAGGGACGUGGAAUUCCUGGUGUAGCGGUGAAAUGCGUAGAUAUCAGGAGGAACACCUGCGGUGUAGACGGCGUCCUGGACCAUUACUGACACUGAGGCACGAAAGCGUGGGGAGCAAACAGGAUUAGAUACCCUGGUAGUCCACGCCCUAAACGAUGCAAACUUGGUGUGCGCCCUUCAUUGGGUGCGUGCCGAAGCUAACGCGUUAAGUUUGCCGCCUGGGGAGUACGGUCGCAAGGCUGAA